This 460-nucleotide ribosomal RNA is filed under the name uncultured bacterium. RNAcentral describes it as "bacterial SSU rRNA". It matches the Rfam family "Bacterial small subunit ribosomal RNA", at positions 340 to 793 of the family's 1533-position model. The record is from RNAcentral.
UACGGGAGGCAGCAGUGGGGAAUAUUGCACAAUGGGCGCAAGCCUGAUGCAGCCAUGCCGCGUGUAUGAAGAAGGCCUUCGGGUUGUAAAGUACUUUCAGCAGUGAGGAAGGCGGGUACGUUAAUAGCGUGCUUGUUUGACGUUAGCUGCAGAAGAAGCACCGGCUAACUCCGUGCCAGCAGCCGCGGUAAUACGGAGGGUGCGAGCGUUAAUCGGAAUUACUGGGCGUAAAGCGCAUGCAGGUGGUUUGUUAAGUCAGAUGUGAAAGCCCGGGGCUCAACCUCGGAAUUGCAUUUGAAACUGGCAGACUAGAGUACUGUAGAGGGGGUAGAAUUUCAGGUGUAGCGGUGAAAUGCGUAGAGAUCUGAAGGAAUACCGGUGGCGAAGGCGGCCCCCUGGACAGAUACUGACACUCAGAUGCGAAAGCGUGGGGAGCAAACAGGAUUAGAUACCCUGGUAG